AGGCCCUUCACCAGCCCCAGACCUUCUGCUGAAGACACCAUUUCAGACAUUGACAACAGAACGGGUAAGAGGCCACCCUAGAAAACAAUCCCGUGAGUGAUAUGAAUUAUCUUCGUGAACCGGAGCAAGUCGCUUUGCCUUCCAGAACCUUCUCUGAGAUGGAAGGAUGAUCUGAAAAUAUGGCUCCCGGGUAAACCUCAGCCCUGGCUGGCAGAUCUGGCUGGCUAAUGGGACCCCCCUUUUCCUCUCCACGGCUCCUGUGCCUUGCCCUCAAGACUGUGUGUGUAUUCCAAGAGGACCACAUUCCCAGGUGGGGGUGUAUUGUUCUUAUAAUGAAGGCUUACAGAAUUUUCUCGAAUGUUGCAUCUAGUUUUAGCAUUCUGAAUCUGUGAAUCACAAAUUAGAAUUGGUGCCUUUGGAAGAGGAGAUGGGACAUGAAACCUGCUCCAGCUUCUGAUAAUGCCCUAAACAGCAGCUCAAAAUACAGCUAAAAGAACCCAGAAAACAAAAUAGUUGAGGAAUCAAAUCUACACAUCUCUAGUGACCUGCCCAAGAUAAUGCAGCUAAUUAGAUAAUUCAUCAGAGUGAAGAUUUGAGACAGAAUACAGAAAUUUUUUUUUAAAGCCUUCUGUACUGACAUUUGUUUCCAUUAAACUUGAUACCACUUCUAUCCUUUGUUUGUCAACUUUUAUCGCUGAGAAAUAAUGUUGCAAUAAGCUGGAAUCAAAGAAAUUGGUGAGAGAAAUUGUGCUGACAUGUUUGGGGUUGUCUUUGUAUUCUCUGAAACCACAGAAAACAUUUGAUUAA
Long non-coding RNA from Symphalangus syndactylus (siamang), 807 nucleotides. RefSeq lists it as uncharacterized. NCBI's taxonomy places the organism in Eukaryota, Metazoa, Chordata, Mammalia, Primates, Hylobatidae. The record is from RefSeq and is a predicted model, not a curated record.